Long non-coding RNA from Ictalurus punctatus (channel catfish), 2195 nucleotides. The record is from Ensembl. Lineage: Eukaryota; Metazoa; Chordata; Actinopteri; Siluriformes; Ictaluridae.
GUCCAGAUUGUGCGAUAUUAACUCACAAUUGUAAUAAUAUAAAGUCCAGAUUGUGCGAUAUUAACUCACAAUUGUAAUAAAUAUAAAGUCCAGAUUGUGCGAUAUUAACUCACAAUUGUAAUAAAUAUAAAAUUGUGCGAUAUUAACUCUCAAUUGUAAUAAAUAUAAAGUCCAGAUUGUGCGAUAUUAAAGUGCAGUUGUAAGAUAUCAAGUUGUAAUUAGCUAUGUUUCAUUCCAAGUUGCAAAUUUAACUUUAACUAGUGAAAAAUUGGAAUAUCACAUAAAACAUUUGUGAGUAAAGCACCAAAAUCUUCACCUCGGGGGAAACUGGUGCGUCUCGCUCUCUGCCAUUUUUACUUUUCUUGAUCCAAUUAUCCAAUCACAUGAUGUGUUUAUGCAAAGUCACAUAACUUUUUUUUUUUUUGAUGUACAUCAAAGAAUUUACUCAGUACGUGUGUUUCCAUCGUAGUUUAUGUGCAUGUCUUCUUUUCGACUAAAAAAAAAAAACAUCUGCCUCAAUUGAGUUUACAAGUUUAUGCGCACUUUGGAGAUUUUAUUCGCAUCUGGUGUUUCCAUCCAGCGUUUGAAAACGUCUUUAUGCGAUAUCCGAAAAUUCAUGUAAGAAUAUGUGUAUGACACAUAGCUAAUGUCUGCUUAUUAAGUUGCAGUUGUGAGAUAUAAAGAAAUCAAGUCUAGUUGCAAGAUAUAAAGUCGCAAUCGUGUUAUUAACUCGCGGUUGUGAGAGUAAGAUAUGAAGUCUAGUCGCGAGAUAUCAAGUCGCGUGGUAUUAACAAGUGAUUCUGAGAUAAGUCGCAAUUGUGAAAUAUUAACUCUCAGUCGCGAGAUAAAAAUUCCAGUUGUGUGAUAUUUACUGUGAUUGCGAGAUAUUGCGUUACGCAGCACGAAGUUGAUACGUUUAUACCGCGAGAGGCCGAAACAUUUCUAUGUUUCUAUGACACACCCCCCCCCCCCCCCUUUUACACAAGGCUCACUGAAUGGUUUGAUGAGGACGAAAGUGAUGUAAAUGAGAUGCUACGGCCUUCACAAUGAUCGCAUCUCUACCCAGAUUUACCUCUGAGAGUCCAGGAACGGAAACGAGCAGUUUAGUCGUUAUUUAGUCAUCGUGACAUCGUUUCCUGUUUCCCAGGUCGUGUCUGCUGCCAGUAAUUUGAUUGUGGCUCAUAAAGAGCUGACGACAUGUCCGUGAGCGUCGGGACACGUGAAAGGAGAGGAGACGUAAUCUGCUAACACAUUUCCAUGCGUAUUGCACUAAUGAUUUCGUCAGGUUAAGGGUGUGUGUGCAGGGUGGGUGUGUGUGUGUACGUGUGCGUGUGUGUGUAGCAGAGUUCUUUCUUCCUGCUAUCUCAUCUUCAGAGCUCUAUGUUUCGAGCCCCUCUCGGCAAAAUGAUAGAGUGAUGACGCUGACCUCUGUGCAGGUGCAUGACCUGCUAUAAUUACAUGUCUCACUGACACGUGAAAUGAUCUCUCCGUGUCUAUCUGUCUAUCUCUCCGUGUCUCUGUCUAUCUCUGUCUGUCUCUCUCACUGUGUAGUAUAUUUCAAUAUCUGUUUCAUUCCCUCUUUAUCUCACUUUUCUCUCUUUGUCUCUGAUUUUUUUUCCGUCUCACUGGUUGUCUCUGUUUCUCAGCCUGUCUGUCUCUCUCUGUUCCUGGUCCUGUGUCUUUCUCUCUUUCACUCUCUGUAUGUUCCGUCUUUCUCUAUGUGUAUCUAUCUCUCUGUCUAUAUGUCAGUCUGUCACACUGUGUGUGUGUGUGUGUGUUGUGUGUAUGUAUGUGUGUGUAUGUAUGUAUGUAUGUAUGUAUGUAUGUAUAUGUGUGUGUAGUGUAUGUCUAUAUAUGUCUGUCUGUCUCUCUCUUUGUGUCUCUCUAUUUCAUGCUUUGUCUCUCUCUCUCUCUGAUUCUCUUCUCUCCUCGGUCUCUCUCUCUCUCUCUCUCCCUUUCUCUGUCUUUCACUUUUCUCCAUCUCACUCUGUCUUUUCUGUCGUUUCUGUUUCUCUUUUUCUCUCUCUCUCUAUCCCACUCGUCUCUGUUCUCUCUGUCUGUGUCUCUGUCCCUCUCCUUCUGUCCUCUCUCACUUUCUCUGUCUCUCUCUCACUUUUGUCUGUCUCACUGUUUGUCUCCGUCUUUCUCUCUUGGAUUUUGUUUCUCUCUCUCUCUCUCUCUCUCUCUCUCUCUCU